ACGGGAGGCAGCAGUGGGGAAUAUUGGGCAAUGGGCGAAAGCCUGACCCAGCGACGCCGCGUGAGGGAAGAAGGUCUUCGGAUUGUAAACCUUAGUCAACAGGGAAGAAGAAAGUGACGGUACCUGUGGAGGAAGCCACGGCUAACUACGUGCCAGCAGCCGCGGUAAUACGUAGGUGGCAAGCGUUAUCCGGAUUUACUGGGUGUAAAGGGUGUGUAGGCGGGAUUGCAAGUCAGAUGUGAAAACUAUGGGCUUAACCCAUAGCCUGCAUUUGAAACUGCAGUUCUUGAGAGUCGGAGAGGUAAAUGGAAUUCCCGGUGUAGCGGUGAAAUGCUUAGAGAUCGGGAGGAACACCAGUGGCGAAGGCGAUUUACUGGACGACAACUGACGCUGAGACACGAAAGUGUGGGGAGCAAACAGGAUUAGAUACCCUGGUA
Molecule: ribosomal RNA, 437 nt
Filed under: uncultured Oscillospiraceae bacterium
Lineage: Bacteria; Bacillati; Bacillota; Clostridia; Eubacteriales; Oscillospiraceae
Description: bacterial SSU rRNA
Rfam family: Bacterial small subunit ribosomal RNA
Source: RNAcentral